This 98-nucleotide microRNA precursor is filed under the name Camelus bactrianus (Bactrian camel). Its description in RNAcentral is "mir-544 microRNA precursor family". It matches the Rfam family "mir-544 microRNA precursor family". RNAcentral also lists the same sequence under 2 other names. Lineage: Eukaryota; Metazoa; Chordata; Mammalia; Artiodactyla; Camelidae. The record is from Rfam by way of RNAcentral.
AUCCCCUAGGGAUCUUGCUAAAUUGCAGAUUCUGAUUUGGUAGUUUUGUGGUGGGCCCUGAGAUUCUGCAUUUCUAACAAGCUCCCAGGUGGCGCUAC